AUUUCGUCAAACUAAAAAACUCUUUCGAGAUUCCGGAAAACUGAACUGUCAAAAUAACGUGUGCUUCACUAACAGAUUUUUUCGUGUUUCGGUGUAAAAAGAAAAGGAACUGGUUUUGCGGCUGAUUAUUAUUAUGAAAACUGAAAUCACAAAGAAUAUUUAAAGAAAACAAUUAAUGCUUUUUUCAAUCAAUUCUGUAUGUUACUAACUCGCUUCGCAGGAUGGAAGUUGCAGAGUGAUAGAUGUUACUUUAUUACCUGGAAGCAAUUCAAGUCUCCAGUUUUUACCAAAGCUGUGUUUAGUUUAAUCAAUUAACUUAGUAAUUAAUAAAAUAAAUUGUAAACUUGAUCGCUUUAAUCACAUUCUGGGUUAUCUGAAGAAAAAAAACAAAAAAUCAAUCUCGGUGUUUUGAUGUGUCACCUAGAUUUUUACCGAGAUCUCGGCUGUCGAAAUCUCGGUAAUUUAUUCUACCGUACUAUCCGAGAGUAAUUUAUCCGAGAUGUUAGAAGUGACUGGAGCGACUGUCAGUUGACUGAAUUGCUGCUAAAUGUAUAUCGGACGGUUGAUGGGCGGAUUGAUGGACCGAUGGGACACCUGAAUGAAUUGUGGAGGCACAUUCGCGAUAUAGUUAACAAUACAGCGUGAGGGUGUUGGUCAUAACCAAAGGAACCACACGCAACGGAUGGCUCGAUGCGAAGUGUUGAAAGGUUAUAGAUGAGGAAACUGGGCUUGUGCUCUCACAAAGCAACAAGAAAGGACGGCUUCCCCAGCCGAACUUUUGAAAGCUGAGAGUGAGCAGUUGUUGUGUGCAAUCCAAUAAGGGGUUUUAAUUUAAAAAAAUACCUGCUUUUUCUUAUACUAAUCGAUAACCGACCUUUCAGUAGGCAUUACGUAAUUUGUGUUAGAUCUCUAGGAGUUUUUUUUUAUUUUAAAAUUGAAAAAUCAUAUUUGUUUUAAAUUUUCACUAACUAGCUAGUAGUGCAUAAAGUGACAUUGCUGUUGCUUGCUUUGGGGGAAUAUAAUCCUGAUAGUGAACAAAGUGACAUUUCUGCUGCUGGCUUGUGGAAAAUAUAACCCUGGUUUACGUGUCAUGACAGGGAUGCGAGAUGUGAAGUCAUGUCUUAAUAUUGAAAAUAUUUGAGCGCGUGUGAAUCAGUGGAAGCCUAAUGGUCGGUUGAUUAACCACACUCGAUUUAACGUGUCAUUGGAAGUAUUGUGAACUUUCAACGGGGACCGUGUUUAAAGAUUUCCUAUGUAUAAAGACAUUGUUUUGUGGAGUGUGAAGAUAUUUGAAAAAUGACCUGGCCUCCCCGUGUCGUGAUUUCUUGACGGUAGGGUCUUAAAAUCACUUACAGUUGUUAAAAUUCGAAAUCGAUUUUUUUAAUAGUUUUGUUGUUUAAAUUAAGAAAAGUCAGCAGAAUAUGUAUUUCGUUUGACAUUUCUUAUCAAAAAAAAAAAAAAAAAAUAAUAAUAUACAUACCCCUAAAACACCCUAUUGGCUCAUUUCAAAAGUUUAGCCCGAAGACAAGCUUCAAGGGGACUGGUUGGACGAACUCAUUUGCCUAGUCUAUUAAAAAGAGCCACCGACUUGAUUGCAGCAAGUAUCGAAGCAUGGCACUCCACAAUGCUGCCCAUAAGAUUUUCUCCUGAAUACUGGUAAUAGACUAAACUGCCGUUCCAAGCAUAGUUGUCCCAGCGUGCAUAAAGUUUGUGUAGAACAUGGGACUACUAUAGUUGGAACGGCAGUAAAGUCGUUGCAAGAAGUCUUUAUUGGUUAAUGCCAGUUCGAUUUUCGGAAAGGGCGAUCUACAAUGGUGCUAAGAGAAGUAAACAUGUUGUUUAACCUUACUUGGAGGGUGUAGUACGGAGGGAUGACGCGCAAAAAAGCGGUACUAUUAUCUCGAAGUCUCACAUGAACCUUGGUUUUGCAGAUGAUAUUGAUAUUGUCGGUAUUACCCACAGAGCAGUGAAAGUGACAUUCGUGCCUUUUGCUGCGAGAAUUGGACUUAUCAUCAACCCUACACCAAAACAUAUAGUUCAUGGUGGCUAGCAGAGAGCGUGGAAGUUCGUCGAGUCUUGCUACAGAGAUUGUUGUAGAUGGGGAUAUCUAUGAAUUAGUUGAUGGAUUUGUGUACCUUGGUACACGUGACGUUAUCCACGAUGUAAAGAAACCGAUAGCAGCCGCAAACAUGAUCUUUUGCGGUUAAAGUAGCUAGGAGAGAUACCGUAGCAUAAAAACCUGUACGAAAUUUGCGCUCUACAGGACACUGAUUCUUCCGGUGAUACUAUAUGUUCAUUAGUGUUGGUCGCAGAAGGAGACCGACUCUGGAGUACCUACUUGGAGUUUUCGAGCGUAGGAUGCUGUGUUCAAUACUUUUCGACAAACCGGAGAAUGGAAUUAUCGUUGGAUGGGUGGAGUGCAUGCAGACGUUCUAUCGGCGGUGUUAGGAGAGUAGAUUAGCUCAAGAAAGAAUUAUGUGGAGACGAGUUCUGGAUGCGAUAGAGGGUCUUUAAUGACCUGUCGGUUUAGAAGUAGAAAGAAAGUAGGUAAGUCAAUUGGAAACCAUCAACUUAUCUUGUCAUGGGUGCUUAUUACGGGAGUCGCUUCACGGUGAAAUAUAUUUCACUCUCACGCUCACUUCACUUUUUUAGACCUAUUCCCGAUUCCACCUCAAGUGAGGUGACAAAAAUCACCUCCGUGGAGUGAGAUUGACAGUGAAGUGAAAUUGAGAAUAGGACAAGUGAAAUGAGAUUGUUUCCCAGCUCAAAAAUCUCUAAGUCUCAGAAAGUCGUUUUUUCCGUUUUUUUCAGAUAACACCAGAUCUUGACGUGCUCUGCAUUUCUAAGACAUUCGGCAUAAAAAAAAUGUUUUUUUCGCUAUCGAAAAUUUCCUGAACUAGUUUGCAUUUUUUUAUCGGGCAAAAAAAUGAAAAUUUGACCGCUUUAAGGCACGGAUCAAAUUCUGAUUCGUUUCGUUACUGAAGAAUAAAUCCAAUAUUUACCAUUAGAUCACAAAUCAAUCAACUUUAAAACUUAUGGCAUCUUCGUGAAAUCAUUUCACCCUUCAAAAUGGUCCAAAAUUUCCGGUCUCACUUCACUGAUAUGACACUCAUAAUAACCCAGAUUCCGCAGCAGAUGUCACUUUGGGACGUUUUUUCACUUACGUGAGUCCCGUAAUAGGACUUUAUUCACUUCACUCUGAUUUCACCGUGAAGUGACUCCCAUAA
This is a long non-coding RNA of Wyeomyia smithii (pitcher-plant mosquito), 3227 nucleotides long. RefSeq lists it as uncharacterized. The transcript has 3 exons. The record is from RefSeq and is a predicted model, not a curated record. NCBI's taxonomy places the organism in Eukaryota, Metazoa, Arthropoda, Insecta, Diptera, Culicidae.